CCUACGGGUGGCAGCAGUGGGGAAUAUUGCGCAAUGGGCGAAAGCCUGACGCAGCGACGCCGCGUGAGGGAUGAAGGUCUUCGGAUCGUAAACCUCUGUCAGCAGGGAAGAACGGUCACUGUGCUAAUCAGCAGUGAAUUGACGGUACCUGCAAAGGAAGCACCGGCUAACUCCGUGCCAGAAGCCGCGGUAAUACGGAGGGUGCGAGAGUUAAUCGGAAUUACUUGGCGGAAAGCGCGCGUAGGCGGUAUGUCAAGACCAGGGUGAAAUCCCCGCGCUCAACGUGGGAACUGCCUUUGAAACUGGCAAACUGGAGUGUGUGAGAGGAUAGUGGAAUUCCAGGGGUAGGAGUGAAAUCCGUAGAUAUCUGGAGGAACAUCAGUGGCGAAGGCGACUAUCUGGCACAUAACUGACGCUGAGGAGCGAAAGCGUGGGUAGCAAACAGGAUUAGAUACCCCUGUAGUC
RNAcentral lists this ribosomal RNA (465 nucleotides) under uncultured bacterium. RNAcentral describes it as "partial 16S ribosomal RNA". It matches the Rfam family "Bacterial small subunit ribosomal RNA", at positions 338 to 795 of the family's 1533-position model. The record is from RNAcentral.